Long non-coding RNA from Helianthus annuus (common sunflower), 1949 nucleotides. RefSeq lists it as uncharacterized. NCBI's taxonomy places the organism in Eukaryota, Viridiplantae, Streptophyta, Magnoliopsida, Asterales, Asteraceae. The record is from RefSeq and is a predicted model, not a curated record. The transcript is spliced from 2 exons.
GAUACUUCACCACCAAGGUAUGCACCUUCGUCUUCCCUAAUUUAACUCACACUUAUCAAUGGUGAAUUGUAUAUUGACUUGAGCGUCGAAGGGUGAUCUAGAGAAUUCGGUCUUUGAACCCUUUUAACAAGUUAUGCAUGGUUUUGUAGAUCUGGAUUGAGAUGAAGAAAGACGACAUGUGGCUCUGGAAUUAUUGUUGAAGAUUAAUCAAACUAGUGGUGGACCCAGGAUUUUUUUCAUUGGGGUCCAUUUUUUGUGUAAGGAUUUUUCACAACCGAACAUUAAAUUUUUCGGGUCAGUCAUCGUAGUAGGCUCGGGGCUAAGAUUUCACAACCAAACACUAAAAUCUUCGGGUCGGUCAUCGUAGUCGGGAUGGGGUCAGGAAAUAAUGUAAAAACAUUUAGUGGACAUGAAACCACUACAUUAUAUGUUGGAAGUUUUAUUUGGUAAUCAAGUGUUAAAUAAAAUCGACAUUCAAUUUAUCAUUUUAAAGAAGCAAAUUAGAGGGUCCAUGGGUGGUUGUGCUGUUUUAAAACACUAGUUUAAUUUUGAUGGAAAAAAAACUAAAAAAACAAAACAUGUAAGACUUGAUUACCACCACACCAUCUUUGUUGGAAUAUAAGAGGAUUUACCACCACACCAUCUUUGAUUUUAAUACUAUGGGGUCCAAUUAAUUUAUUUUAUGGGGUCCUUAAAAAUUUUAACAUACCGGUUCUACUAUUUUCUAAAAAAAGAUUGGGGUCCGUGGACCCCGACCCGAACCAUAUGGGUCUGCCCCUGGAUCAAACCCUUGGUUUCGAUCCAUGUUUCUUCUAUAUAUGUGUGUGUUAUUAAUUUCUGUGUAAUUUGAAAACAAAAUAGGAUUUAUUUUACGAAUACUUUGAAGUUAGAAUAUUAAAGGGAUGAAUUAAGAAAGUAGGUAUUAAUAUAUAAAUAGUUUGAAGGGAACGUUGGACAACGGUAAAAUUUAACAUUUCACAAAUUCUUCAUAUUUAAAAUAAAUGGACGCUAAUUCCUAACUCAAACCAUCGGAAACCUAUGCCAUGUUCUUCAUCGUUAAUGUAGAGGUAUUUCCCGAUCAAAUUAGAUUGUGGUCGUGCAACUGUAUACUCACUUUUACGGCCACCGCCGCAAUCCAACGAUAAUGAGGAGUCAACUUCGAGCUCCUCGGCAAUCUACCUCACACCUUCGACUACACCAGCCACAUGACAUGUUAAUGCAUCGCCAAAAUUGUUGUCAGAUGCGCCGUUGUCGUGUGAUUUAGGAUCACAAUCAAGAAUAUUUUGGGUGAAAAUCUAGUAACGGUCACAUACAACUACGGAUUCAAAUCCCCACUAUCAUUAUAAAAGGCCAUGGUUCGAGUUGAACUUUAAAAUUAAACGACUGAAAUUCUAGUUACUCAUCAUUAGACAUAAUUCCAAUGUUAAUUGCCCCAAGUGUGAGCAACUGUGGGAAUCCAUUGUUUACCUGUGCCCGCAUGGUCAUUAUGUUUGCUUAUGCUGUGAACAGUGGAAAAAUAAGUGUCUCUUCUACAAAAUCUCAAUGGGAUUCAACUUGUACCAGAAUAAAUUGGUUGAAAAUAUGCUCGAAGAAAGUCGCCUUGAUUGUAUUAACAAAACCUCUGGCUGUCACGAACGACCGUUUAGAAGCGAGCUUAGGGCACACCUUAAUGAGUGUAAGUAUGAUUGCAACUCAUACGCUUGGAUGCAUAUGUAAAGGGUACGAUAAACACAUGAGUUUUUUGGUACUAAUGCCUACUACUAAGGUGUGGGUGGUACAUGUAUUAUAAUUGAGAUGACUAUAUUACACAUGGUUUUUUGGUACUCACACCUACAUCUAAGGUGUGGAUGGGAUGACUAUAUAGAUUUCUUUAUAAUGGUUGUUAUAGCGUAUCGAGGUUAAAAACACGUUCUUCAGGUUUUAUAUAAAUGAUUGAUUCUUAGAAGCUA